UCGCCCCUGGCGAUAAAGUAGCCGCCUGUGGCUGCCUUCCUCAUCACGAGGAUAGCCAGAGGCGUUUUC
This 69-nucleotide non-coding RNA is filed under the name unclassified sequences. RNAcentral describes it as "DUF3800-IX RNA". It matches the Rfam family "DUF3800-IX RNA". Rfam says of the family: Actinobacteria, Firmicutes (1 example), Nitrospirae, Proteobacteria, Verrucomicrobia (1 example). Nearby to DUF3800 The record is from Rfam by way of RNAcentral.